GACGAACGCUGGCGGCGUGCUUAACACAUGCAAGUCGAACGGAAAGGCCCUGCUUUUGUGGGGUGCUCGAGUGGCGAACGGGUGAGUAACACGUGAGUAACCUGCCCUUGACUUUGGGAUAACUUCAGGAAACUGGGGCUAAUACCGGAUAGGAGCUCCUGCUGCAUGGUGGGGGUUGGAAAGUUUCGGCGGUUGGGGAUGGACUCGCGGCUUAUCAGCUUGUUGGUGGGGUAGUGGCUUACCAAGGCCUUGACGGGUAGCCGGCCUGAGAGGGUGACCGGCCACAUUGGGACUGAGAGACGGCCCAGACUCCUACGGGAGGCAGCAGUGGGGAAUAUUGCACAAUGGGCGGAAGCCUGAUGCAGCAACGCCGCGUGCGGGAUGACGGCCUUCGGGUUGUAAACCGCUUUCGCCUGUGACGAAGCGUGAGUGACGGUAAUGGGUAAAGAAGCACCGGCUAACUACGUG
Molecule: ribosomal RNA, 468 nt
Filed under: uncultured bacterium
Lineage: Bacteria
Description: partial 16S ribosomal RNA
Rfam family: Bacterial small subunit ribosomal RNA
Source: RNAcentral